AAGUGUCACAGAAAUGGGGAGGGGUGGGUGGUGAAGAACUCCUGGAGAGGGAGAGAAUCUGAGAGACUGUUUCAGGAAGAACAAGACUAGCUGAUGUGGCUCAGCAGGGGAACAGAAGGGGGCUACCAAGAUGUUGAAGAAAGGAGAAACGUGACUGGCUCAGCAAGGAUAGAGAACUUUAUCAAAGUCACCUCCACCAACAAGGACAAGAAUCAGAGCACCUGGCUUCCACUGAAAGACAGACACAACCCAAGGGACCUGGGAACCACAUUUGAGCAUAGAGCUGAGUUUCAUAAAGUUGAUUUCCUGAAAGAACAUUCUAUCUACUUCUCCAUCAGAAGGUUAUUGAGACACAAUUGGGUAGCACUAUUGUUUACAUUGUAAAAUUCCAGGUCAUCAAGCUGAGUCAAGUUUCAAACCCAGCAGUAAAAAGAAUAGCAGAGCAUUCUCAAAGGAGCUCUAAAAGACAGCUACCCCCAAGUGACACAAUCCCAGCUCCUGACAGCCAGAGGAGCAACAGGGAGAAGAACCAAAAACAAAAUUCAAAUAUAAAAUUGGAGGGAAAAGAUGACAGAGAAUUAUACCAACGUUUAAUGCCAUGGAUACAGCUGGUGGCAAGAGCCCUCCCUAUUCAAACCAGGCUUCCAGAAACAUGAAGAAAAGUGCCAAGACAGAGAUUUUAAACAGUCGUCUCCUUGAUACUCAAAGUGUGGCCCACAGAGCAGCAGUAAUGGUGUUGCUUGUUGGAAAUGCAGAAUUUGGGGCCUCACCCAGACCUACUGAAUCAGAAUUUGCAUUUUAACAAAUAUGCAGGACAACUCUAGCUGCUGUUUGAAAAUACACUCUUUAAGGAUACAACAUAAAGAAAGAAAUAACAGAUGAUACCAAUGUUCAUGGCUAAAGCAACUGGAAGAUUCGGGGAUAUGUAAGUGUCGCAGCUUAUGGAAGGAAGAUCAACAGUUCACUUUGUACACGUUGGGUUUGAGAGGUCUGCUAGACAGCCAGAUGGAGGAUGCCAAAUAGAAGACUUCAGAGGUGAGGUCCUGAGAUUGAACAAGAAUCCCUAGAGGAGAAGUAGAGGUUGAUAAGAGGCACUCCAAGAAGAGGUUGUGGAGAAUAAUGACUGGAAGAGAUUGAGAAGGAGCAACCACUGAGACAGGGAAGAGAGCCAAGACCCAGCCAAGCAGGACGAAUCAUUUUAUUUGCCCAUUCUAUGGCACGAUAAAAUGUUGAAGAAUUAAUCAGUGGACUGUUGCAUUUUAUUUUUGUUUCUCUGUGUCAGAAGGUUGAUGUUUUUCCCUUUUUUAC
This is a long non-coding RNA of Callithrix jacchus (white-tufted-ear marmoset), 1308 nucleotides long. RefSeq lists it as uncharacterized. The record is from RefSeq and is a predicted model, not a curated record. NCBI's taxonomy places the organism in Eukaryota, Metazoa, Chordata, Mammalia, Primates, Cebidae.